GAUGAACGCUGGCGGCGUGCCUAAUACAUGCAAGUCGAGCGAACGGACGAGAAGCUUGCUUCUCUGAUGUUAGCGGCGGACGGGUGAGUAACACGUGGAUAACCUACCUAUAAGACUGGGAUAACUUCGGGAAACCGCAGCUAAUACCGGAUAAUAUUUUGAACCGCAUGGUUCAAAAGUGAAAGACGGUCUUGCUGUCACUUAUAGAUGGAUCCGCGCUGCAUUAGCUAGUUGGUAAGGUAACGGCUUACCAAGGCAACGAUGCAUAGCCGACCUGAGAGGGUGAUCGGCCACACUGGAACUGAGACACGGUCCAGACUCCUACGGGAGGCAGCAGUAGGGAAUCUUCCGCAAUGGGCGAAAGCCUGACGGAGCAACGCCGCGUGAGUGAUGAAGGUCUUCGGAUCGUAAAACUCUGUUAUUAGGGAAGAACAUAUGUGUAAGUAACUGUGCACAUCUUGACGGUACCUAAGCAGAAAGCCACGGCUAACUACGU
This 496-nucleotide ribosomal RNA is filed under the name uncultured bacterium. Its description in RNAcentral is "partial 16S ribosomal RNA". It matches the Rfam family "Bacterial small subunit ribosomal RNA", at positions 28 to 506 of the family's 1533-position model. The record is from RNAcentral.